This 876-nucleotide ribosomal RNA is filed under the name uncultured Nitrososphaerota archaeon. RNAcentral describes it as "bacterial SSU rRNA". It matches the Rfam family "Archaeal small subunit ribosomal RNA", at positions 21 to 903 of the family's 1478-position model. The record is from RNAcentral. Lineage: Archaea; Thermoproteati; Nitrososphaerota.
ACCUGACUGCUAUCGGAUUGAUACUAAGCCAUGCGAGUCAUUGUAGUAAUACAAGGCAGACGGCUCAGUAACGCGUAGUCAACCUAACCUAUGGACGGGAAUAACCUCGGGAAACUGAGUAUAAUGCCCGAUAGAACAUUAUGCCUGGAAUGGUUUAUGUUCCAAAUGAUUUAUCGCCGUAGGGUGGGACUGCGGCCUAUCAGUUUGUUGGUGAGGUAAUGGCCCACCAAGACUAUUACAGGUACGGGCUCUGAGAGGAGUGGCCCGGAGAUGGGUACUGAGACACGGACCCAGGCCCUAUGGGGCGCAGCAGGCGAGAAAACUUUGCAAUGUGCGAAAGCACGACAAGGUUAAUCCGAGUGGUUUCUGCUAAAGGAACCUUUUGUCGGUCCUAGAAACACCGAUGAAUAAGGGGUGGGCAAGUUCUGGUGUCAGCCGCCGCGGUAAAACCAGCACCUCAAGUGGUCAGGAUGAUUAUUGGGCCUAAAGCAUCCGUAGCCGGCUCUGUAAGUUUUCGGUUAAAUCUGUACGCUUAACGUACAGGCUGCCGGGAAUACUGCAAAGCUAGGGAGUGGGAGAGGUAGACGGUACUCGGUAGGAAGGGGUAAAAUCCUUUGAUCUAUUGAUGACCACCUGUGGCGAAGGCGGUCUACCAGAACACGUCCGACGGUGAGGGAUGAAAGCUGGGGGAGCAAACCGGAUUAGAUACCCGGGUAGUCCCAGCUGUAAACUAUGCAAACUCAGUGAUGCAUUGGCUUGUGGCCAAUGCAGUGCUGCAGGGAAGCCGUUAAGUUUGCCGCCUGGGAAGUACGUACGCAAGUAUGAAACUUAAAGGAAUUGGCGGGGGAGCACCACAAGGGGUGAAGCCUGCGGUUC